AACUUUCAACAACGGAUCUCUUGGUUCCCGCAUCGAUGAAGAACGCAGCGAAACGCGAUAGUUAUGUGAAUUGCAGAAUUCAGUGAAUCAUCGAGUCUUUGAACGCACAUUGCGCCCAUUGGUAUUCCUUUGGGCAUGUCUGUUUGAGCGUCAUU
This 155-nucleotide ribosomal RNA is filed under the name Geniculifera cystosporia. RNAcentral's name for it is "5.8S ribosomal RNA". It matches the Rfam family "5.8S ribosomal RNA". From Rfam's summary of the family: 5.8S ribosomal RNA (5.8S rRNA) is a component of the large subunit of the eukaryotic ribosome. The record is from RNAcentral. Lineage: Eukaryota; Fungi; Ascomycota.